RNAcentral lists this unclassified non-coding RNA (343 nucleotides) under soil metagenome. Its description in RNAcentral is "partial contains 5.8S ribosomal RNA, internal transcribed spacer 2, and large subunit ribosomal RNA". The stretch from base 4 to 119 matches the Rfam family "5.8S ribosomal RNA", at positions 39 to 154 of the family's 154-position model. The record is from RNAcentral.
GAUAAGAACGUAGCGAAAUGCGAUAAGUAAUGUGAAUUGCAGAAUUCAGUGAAUCAUCGAAUCUUUGAACGCACAUUGCGCCCGCCAGUAUUCUGGCGGGCAUGCCUGUUCGAGCGUCAUUUCAACCCUCAAGCCCCCGGGCUUGGUGUUGGGGAUCGGCGUGCCCUCGCGGCGCGCCGUCCCCUAAAUCUAGUGGCGGUCUCGCUGUAGCUUCCUCUGCGUAGUAGCAACACUCGCACUGGAUCGCAGCGCGGCCACGCCGUUAAACCCCCCACUUCUGAAAGUUUGACCUCGGAUCAGGUAGGAAUACCCGCUGAACUUAAGCAUAUCAAUAAGCGGAGGA